Molecule: ribosomal RNA, 276 nt
Filed under: uncultured prokaryote
Description: partial 16S ribosomal RNA
Rfam family: Bacterial small subunit ribosomal RNA
Source: RNAcentral
CACGGGGUUGCGAGCGUUGUCCGGAAUUACUAGGCGUAAAGGGCAGGCAGGCGGAUCCAUAAGUUUAUCGUUUAAGGCGUCGGCUUAACCGGCGUAGGGCGGUAGAUACUGUGGAUCUGGAAUGCCGUUGGGGAAGACAGAAUUCCUGGUGUAGCGGUGGAAUGCGCAGAGAUCAGGAGGAAUACCGAAGGCGAAGGCAGUCUUCCAAGCCGUUAUUGACGCUCAACUGCGAAGGUGUGGGUAUCAAACAGGAUUAGAUACCCGGGUAGUCACUGA